RNAcentral lists this ribosomal RNA (232 nucleotides) under uncultured bacterium. Its description in RNAcentral is "partial 16S ribosomal RNA". It matches the Rfam family "Bacterial small subunit ribosomal RNA", at positions 118 to 347 of the family's 1533-position model. The record is from RNAcentral.
UGAGUAACCUGCCCCAAACUCUGGGAUAAAGCACUGGAAACGGUGUCUAAUACCGGAUACGAGCUUCAGCCGCAUGGCUAGGAGUUGGAAAGAAUUUCGGUUUGGGAUGGACUCGCGGCCUAUCAGCUAGUUGGUGAGGUAAUGGCUCACCAAGGCGACGACGGGUAGCCGGCCUGAGAGGGUGACCGGCCACACUGGGACUGAGACACGGCCCAGACUCCUACGGGAGCAG